Puntigrus tetrazona (Sumatra barb) is the source of this 471-nucleotide long non-coding RNA. RefSeq lists it as uncharacterized. Lineage: Eukaryota; Metazoa; Chordata; Actinopteri; Cypriniformes; Cyprinidae. The record is from RefSeq and is a predicted model, not a curated record. The transcript has 3 exons.
GAGGGGUCAGAAUUAGGAGGGUUUGGACAACAUGAUGGACUCACUGGCUUCAGAGGAAUCUUCACUGACGGGAGAGAGUCUUUGGGACACUUUGAGUGGGAGAAGACGACACCAGUGUAACAGACAAUAUACAUGCAGGAUGUCGUCCAGCCAGGCCAGAUCAUGCUGCGAGAAGAUCAGGUCCAGCAUCUUCCUCACGACCAUCAGGCCCAGAAUCUGACGGAGGAAGCGGUCACAUGACAACAGGGCAGGAGAAUGGCAUCCAAACACAAAAAAAGCAAAUAAAAUGCUUAUAGUGCUCCGAGAGUUACAUGUACGGGUGAAGAAAAAUCCAGCACUCGCACCAUGACGGGGAAAAUGAUGGCGGCUACGGUGGACUUGAGGAUCCAGAGGACGGCCAGACAGGUGAUCUGCACCAGAGUGAAGAGAUGUACGCGCCGCAGGGGUACGUGACGCAGGAACACGAAGUCU